Non-coding RNA from Peromyscus maniculatus bairdii (prairie deer mouse), 843 nucleotides. The record is from RefSeq and is a predicted model, not a curated record. NCBI's taxonomy places the organism in Eukaryota, Metazoa, Chordata, Mammalia, Rodentia, Cricetidae.
AGAGUUCCGGACAGAAACGGAAUUCUAAAGCAAUGGAUGUGAACUUAGCUUUGUUUCCCAAACUGGUACCAAGCUAUUCUUUCUCCCAUGACCCUCUAGUGGUUGUUACUGCUGAGGGUUAGAGUGGCCCAGGGAAUGUGAUGCUGAACACCAGACCUCACAUAGCAGAAUUCUGUCUGGAGGGAGUGACAAACUGUGGGAAAAACAAAAAGUUACAGAAUUAAGAAAAACAGCACCUGGCGAGAAAAGGAAUCGGAUGCCUUCCACAAGACCUGUUUCUUUAGGAAUCGGGAUUUACUCGACGACAGAAAGUUCUGGAAUCUGUGUUCACUGCAAAUGGAAAUAAGCGUUAUCAGGCAUCUGGGAGUUUCUGUAAAGAUCUUGUGGGACUGGGUGUACAGCACAGAGGCCUCCAGGUAUGAUCAAAUAGCAGCAGAUUGGUGGAAAGUUCUGGAGAACAGCUUCCGAUCUUUGCACAAAGAUACAGGAAAAGGAAUUCUCAUGUCCCCGCCUCUUCAGAAUGAUGAUGCUUCAAUCACGGCUUCUUCAGAAUCAAACAAGAUCAUUUGGAAAUCACAAAACAGUAUACAAAAAUUUUCAUCCUCAUCAUUAAGAGACAUAUACGACAUGGUCUGGGCUACCUUUCCAGCCCAGAGGAGCCAGAGCCUAAUGCCUGCCCACCUUCUUCAGAGGCCAGUAAGGGAACGGAGAGAACAGAGGUGGCUGCGGUUUUUCUCCAAGUGGACAGAGUUGGACAUGAGGUCUUUUGUUCAUGCCUUUAUUCAAGUCUCCCUACUAGGGACUUCCGAAAGGUGUGAAGCAAUGUUCUAUGGGUCUGAGAAA